GUGGGGAAUAUUGGACAAUGGGCGAAAGCCUGAUCCAGCCAUGCCGCGUGUGUGAAGAAGGUCUUCGGAUUGUAAAGCACUUUAAGUUGGGAGGAAGGGCAGUAAGUUAAUACCUUGCUGUUUUGACGUUACCGACAGAAUAAGCACCGGCUAACUUCGUGCCAGCAGCCGCGGUAAUACGAAGGGUGCAAGCGUUAAUCGGAAUUACUGGGCGUAAAGCGCGCGUAGGUGGUUUUGUAAGUUGGAGGUGAAAUCCCCGGGCUCAACCUGGGAACUGCCUCAAAAACUGCAUGACUAGAGUACGGUAGAGGGUAGUGGAAUUUCCUGUGUAGCGAUGAAAUGCGUAGAUAUAGGAAGGAACACCAGUGGCGAAGGCGACUACCUGGACUGAUACUGACACUGAGGUGCGAAAGCGUGGGGAGCAAACAGGAUUAGAAACCCCUGUAGUCC
This 450-nucleotide ribosomal RNA is filed under the name uncultured bacterium. Its description in RNAcentral is "bacterial SSU rRNA". It matches the Rfam family "Bacterial small subunit ribosomal RNA", at positions 354 to 796 of the family's 1533-position model. The record is from RNAcentral.